GCGGUUGUAGCUCAUUGGUAGAGCACUUGCCUAUCAUGCCUGAGGCACUGGGUUCAAUCCUCAGCACCACA
RNAcentral lists this transfer RNA (71 nucleotides) under Ictidomys tridecemlineatus (thirteen-lined ground squirrel). RNAcentral describes it as "Spermophilus tridecemlineatus (thirteen-lined ground squirrel) tRNA". It matches the Rfam family "tRNA". From Rfam's summary of the family: Transfer RNA (tRNA) molecules are approximately 80 nucleotides in length. Their secondary structure includes four short double-helical elements and three loops (D, anti-codon, and T loops). Further hydrogen bonds mediate the characteristic L-shaped molecular structure. tRNAs have two regions of fundamental functional importance: the anti-codon, which is responsible for specific mRNA codon recognition, and the 3' end, to which the tRNAs corresponding amino acid is attached (by aminoacyl-tRNA synthetases). tRNAs cope with the degeneracy of the genetic code in two manners: having more than one tRNA (with a specific anti-codon) for a particular amino acid; and 'wobble' base-pairing, i.e. permitting non-standard base-pairing at the 3rd anti-codon position. Lineage: Eukaryota; Metazoa; Chordata; Mammalia; Rodentia; Sciuridae. The record is from Rfam by way of RNAcentral.